UGGCGUACCGUGGGGUUUCAGUCAGGGCCUUCAGGCCAGCAGAGAAGGCCCUGCUGCCCCUGAAGGCCCACCACUGCUGUCAGACAACAUCUCCAAGAUGCUAUAAACCGCAGGACUAGAUGCCCAUCCCAAGGUUACUAGAGAUUACGCCAGCUCCAGACUGAAUCCAAACUCACUUCAGAUGACGCCAACGCUCACAAAGACUACAAAUGACGGCAACUGUACAUGGACACACAAAACACAUAUCAUCCUUAUAUUGCCUAUAAGGGUAAGCUUGACGAUUUUCAACCCGCUGUGUAUUAUUGCAACAUCUCUAAUAUCUGUAAAUGAACAAUAUUUACUCUUUC
Molecule: long non-coding RNA, 347 nt
Organism: Onychostoma macrolepis
Lineage: Eukaryota; Metazoa; Chordata; Actinopteri; Cypriniformes; Cyprinidae
Exons: 3
Source: RefSeq, a predicted model, not a curated record